AAUAAACCUUUGAUUGAGAAAUAGUAGUUCGUCAUCUGAUUUUACAGAGAGUCGAUGGUUGGUGGAAAUCGAUAAAUCAAGCGAAUGAAUGGGCUCAUGAGUGGAACCUGAAUGUGAAAGUAGGGAACUCGGAUUCUUCCGUUAUCAAGACUAAAGUGGAUAAAUUAAGUUUAUCUAUUGAGGUGGCACCGCGGUAAUAUAUCGUCCUCUAU
Molecule: non-coding RNA, 212 nt
Filed under: Turicibacter sanguinis
Lineage: Bacteria; Bacillati; Bacillota; Erysipelotrichia; Erysipelotrichales; Turicibacteraceae
Description: T-box sequence
Rfam family: T-box leader
About the family: Uncharged tRNA acts as the effector for transcription antitermination of genes in the T-box leader family. T-boxes are found upstream of many aminoacyl-tRNA synthetase genes and some amino acid biosynthetic genes usually in Gram-positive bacteria.
Source: RNAcentral